This 166-nucleotide unclassified non-coding RNA is filed under the name uncultured Sebacinaceae. Its description in RNAcentral is "sequence contains ITS1". Lineage: Eukaryota; Fungi; Basidiomycota; Agaricomycetes; Sebacinales; Sebacinaceae. The record is from RNAcentral.
UUGAUUGUGAAUCGUUGCCUUCAGUGCUGGCUCCGGCAAGUGCACGUUGGUGACUUUCAUCCAGUCCCCUUGUGAACCUUUGGCCUCUUGCUGGCCUUGGCUGGCAGAGGAUUUACACAAACUUGAAUGUAACUGAAAGCCCUUGUUGUGCGCAAGCACUAAUGUA